UACGGAGGUGGCGAGCGUUACUCGGAUUCAUUGGGUGUAAAGGGCAGGUAGGUGUCCUAACAAGUGAGAGGUGAAAUCCUACGACUCAAUCGUAGAACUGCCUUUCAAACUGUUGGGAUUGAGUGUGAGAGAGGAAAGCGGAACUCUCGGUGUAAGGGUGAAAUCUGUAGAGAUCGAGAGGAACACCAGUAGCGAAGGCGGCUUUCUGGAUCACAACUGACACUGAGCUGCGAAAGCUAGGGGAGCAAACAGG
RNAcentral lists this ribosomal RNA (253 nucleotides) under uncultured bacterium. Its description in RNAcentral is "partial 16S ribosomal RNA". It matches the Rfam family "Bacterial small subunit ribosomal RNA", at positions 524 to 776 of the family's 1533-position model. The record is from RNAcentral.